UACGUAGGGUGCGAGCGUUGUCCGGAAUUAUUGGGCGUAAAGGGCUCGUAGGCGGUUUGUCGCGUCGGGAGUGAAAACCCAGGGCUUAACUCUGGGCUUGCUUUCGAUACGGGCAGACUAGAGGUAUGCAGGGGAGAACGGAAUUCCUGGUGUAGCGGUGAAAUGCGCAGAUAUCAGGAGGAACACCGGUGGCGAAGGCGGUUCUCUGGACAUUACCUGACGCUGAGGAGCGAAAGUGUGGGGAGCGAACAGG
Molecule: ribosomal RNA, 253 nt
Filed under: uncultured bacterium
Lineage: Bacteria
Description: partial 16S ribosomal RNA
Rfam family: Bacterial small subunit ribosomal RNA
Source: RNAcentral